RNAcentral lists this ribosomal RNA (445 nucleotides) under uncultured bacterium. Its description in RNAcentral is "bacterial SSU rRNA". It matches the Rfam family "Bacterial small subunit ribosomal RNA", at positions 330 to 792 of the family's 1533-position model. The record is from RNAcentral.
UCCAGACUCCUACGGGAGGCAGCAGUGGGGGAUAUUGGACAAUGGGGGAAACCCUGAUCCAGCGAUGCCGCGUGAGGGAAGAAGGUUUUCGGAUUGUAAACCUCUGUGGACAGGGACGAUAAUGACGGUACCUGUCAAGAAAGCCACGGCUAACUACGUGCCAGCAGCCGCGGUAAUACGUAGGUGGCGAGCGUUGUCCGGAAUUACUGGGUGUAAAGGGAGUGUAGGCGGGAAGGCAAGUCAGAAGUGAAAAUUAUGGGCUCAACCCAUAACCUGCUUUUGAAACUGUUCUUCUUGAGUGAUGGAGAGGCAGGCGGAAUUCCGUGUGUAGCGGUGAAAUGCGUAGAUAUACGGAGGAACACCAGUGGCGAAGGCGGCCUGCUGGACAUUAACUGACGCUGAGGCGCGAAAGCGUGGGGAGCAAACAGGAUUAGAUACCCCGGUA